AUAAUAUCUAGGCUAGAUUACAGAUUCAAAUAAAUUGAAUCUUCAAGAUUUGUAUCCCAAUUUGAGAUUUUAAGGUUGAAUGACACAACUGAGGAGAUAUUCAAGCAUUCAAGAAGAGAUUGAGAUUCAUUGUUGGGAAUUGAGUGCCAAGGUACAACAAUAGCUAGGAUUAUUUUCUUUAUUCCGUAUAUUGAAACGGGUGAUGGUUUUCAUCAUUUUGUUAUUUAAUUUCUUAAUUAUGAUUGGCCAAAUUGGUUGUUAUAAUGAACGACAUAGAUUAAUAUUUAUUUAAUUCAAUUUAUUUAAUCAUUUUGCUUUGAUUGUGUGUUGAUUAUCUAUUGUGUUUUAAUUGCAUUCAAUUGCUUGAUCACCAAUUGUUUAAUUUAAAAACAAUAUUGAGACUGAGAGAAGAUUUAUUUGUUUAAUUCGUACAAUAAGUGACAUAGAUUCAUAAGAGAUAAAGAGAUGAUUAUAACUUAUGCAAUCAUAUUUGAAUUUCCUAAAAUUGAAUAUUUUUUACAUUUGUAUAAAUUUACAUUGAGACAUAGUAAAUUCGAACAUGUGAAGAUUACAAACUAAAAUUGGUUAACUCGAUUAUUAAUGUAUAUGAACAAAUGGUUGAAUGAUAUUGAGUUGAAUAAAUAUUGAUCCUUGUUUGGGCUCCAUUAAAAUGAUUUUUUGAGGAAAAAAUAUAUUUUAGAAUAUUAAUUUAUUUUUUUUGGAAGAUAUGUGAUUAAAAAAUAAGCAAAAUUUUUUGAAUUUACGUGUAAUAUUAAUUUGUGAAAGAAUGUAUGGUUAAAAUGAGUUUUAAAAAAAUGGAGCCCAAAAAGGGGCUAAAUAAAGUGAAAUAGAAAUUUUUAUCCUCUAAAUCCCAUUAGUUCUCCUCAAAGUUGUAAAUAGUAUAUGGAUUUUGACUAAUAUAAUUUAGUUAAGUUAAUAUCUUAAUUUGAUUUGAUAAAUUAGUUAUCACGUUAAUUUAGAUUGAAACGAGAUUAGAAUAAAUAUUGAUAGUAAGUACAUAAUUUCUGUGGGAAAGAUAUUUGAACUCAUAAUCAACUUUAUUACUUAUUACGAUUCGUAUAUUUAAAGAAUCAAUCGAUCAAUCAUACAUUUUUAAAUAAAGUAAUUUUGCACAUAUACUCAUAUUUUUCAUAGUUUUAACCACACAUUUUCAAAAUUAAAAAAAUGGAAAAAAGGAAAAAUCACUUUCCACAAAAUAUGUUUUUUUUUUUUUUUAAAUAUAUCUAACAAACAUUGGCUAAGGAAUUUUAUUAUUUUAUUAUUUUAUUUUUUUUUUUGCCACAUGCAUAAAAAUAACCAAAUCCCUCACCUGAACACCGUGUCAGUAAAAAAUGGAAAUCCUGCAUUUUAAUUUUAAUUUCUUCUUUUGUAAUGGUCUAGCAGCCGGCGGCCGGAGUUUUUUCUGAAAAGUCAUGUGGCCGCCAAUUAUUUUCCAUAUUCUGUAUUUUGUCGUACUCGCAAAUCCAAUUUUAUUUUGCCACCUUGCAUGGAGUGGACUAGUUCCUUUUUCAAACAAACUCCACAGACGUAAUACGUUACUUGUUAAUUUCUCAUAUGCAUAUUUUGUUCUUGAUUAAAUUAUAAUUUAAGUAAUUAAAAAUUGUAAAUCCUACAUAAUGUAUGAAUAAUAAACAAGCAAUAGUCGUGGCUCUUAUAAUAUGUAUAAAAAUUUAUAAUAAUUAUGGAUCUACACGAAAUGGAUAAUCCAUGCGCUAUAUAAUGCAAAGAACACCCUCUAGGUUGUCCCUAUUCACCGUUUCCUCUUUAAUUGGAAGUAUAGGUUCAUUAAUCUCAUCAAGUUUUAACUUCUCGCAAAGGGUGGAUAGCUCUAAUGGAUUGAUGUCGAUAGUGUUUGCGCCGAAACGAAGAGAGAAGGUUCUUGCAUUGGUAGCCACUUGAUGGAACAGUCGGAAACUGUCCAGCCAAUCAGAGAUCAGCCAGAAAAGACUCCCCAUUGGAGAUAAGCACUUAAAAUCGUCAAGGAGGGAAUUUUAGAGAGAUAGUACGCCAUGCAUGAUGCAAUUGAAUGUUUAGUGAUUUAAUUGCUUUGUAAAGUUGUUUUUAACCUUUAAGACAUGAGUUAGGAGAUUUUUUUUUUCUUUUUUCUUUAUUUUUUUGAGACAAUAUUUAAAUGUUAUAUAAAGGUGCUUAUAGUUUAUACACAUCGAAUAACAUGAAAUAAAGUUGGUUUUAUGUGUGUUUUGGUUAGUAGGAACCCUAAAAUUUAAGUAAACACUUCAAGUUCGUGCAAGAUAUUUAAACCGUUUUGACACACUUCAAUAAAGGUGCUUAUAUGUUUUAUAUUACGU
This 2330-nucleotide long non-coding RNA is filed under the name Olea europaea subsp. europaea. Lineage: Eukaryota; Viridiplantae; Streptophyta; Magnoliopsida; Lamiales; Oleaceae. The record is from RNAcentral.